RNAcentral lists this ribosomal RNA (546 nucleotides) under Mystus vittatus (striped dwarf catfish). RNAcentral describes it as "partial large subunit ribosomal RNA". It matches the Rfam family "Bacterial large subunit ribosomal RNA", at positions 1862 to 2597 of the family's 2925-position model. The record is from RNAcentral. Lineage: Eukaryota; Metazoa; Chordata; Actinopteri; Siluriformes; Bagridae.
UGUGCCCAGUGACUAGUUAAACGGCGCGGUAUUUUGACCGUGCGAAGGUAGCGCAAUCACUUGUCUUUUAAAUGAAGACCUGUAUGAAUGGUGGAACGAGGGCUUAACUGUCUCCCUUUUCAGUUCAAUGAAAUUGAUCUGCCCGUGCAGAAAGCGGACAUGUCUAUACAAGACGAGAAGACCCUUUGGAGCUUAAGAUGUAAGACCAACUACGUUAAGAAUAGCCUAAACCAAUUAAACUAAGUAGCAACUGGUCCCUAUCUUCGGUUGGGGCGACCACGGGAGAAAAUUAAGCUCCCACCGUGGGACUGGGGCCACCCCUAAACUAAAGAGAGACAUCUCUAGUCAACAGAAUUUCCUGACCCAAAGAUCCGGCCAUCGGCCGAUCAACGAACCAGUUUACCCUUAGGGAUUACAGGCGCAAUCCCCUUCCAGAGUCCAAUAUCGACAAGGGGGUUUACCGACCUCCCAUGUUGGAUUCAGGGACAUCCCUAAUGGUGCAGCCCGCCUAUUAAGGGUUCCGUUUGUUCAACCGAAUAAAGUCCU